This 957-nucleotide long non-coding RNA is filed under the name Homo sapiens (human). RNAcentral describes it as "HSALNT0149680". The record is from RNAcentral. Lineage: Eukaryota; Metazoa; Chordata; Mammalia; Primates; Hominidae.
AUUUAAGGUACCAUAUUUCAUCGAAUCUAAGAUGUCAUAGAUUAUUUUUAAAAAGUGCUAUUACAUUAUAUACCUCUAAGAAGGGAAAAACACUCAGGACAGGGAGUUUAGUAGGAGACCUAACCCACAAGGCUGGUACACCUAGUAGUGUUUGAAAUUAAUCUGAGGGUUUUUGCUGAUACCAAAAUAUUAGGAAAGGUUUUCCAAAAAUAAUACUGCUUAUUAUAAAGAAUUUUAUGUGUUACUUGAUGCCCUGUGAUCCAUUUUCUCAGUAAGAAGAGGAACUUCUCGGCUGGGCGCAGCAGCUCAUGCCUGUAAUCCCAGCACUUUGGGAGGCCGAGGCAGGUGGAUCACAAGGUCAGGAGUUCACAAAAUAAUGAAUAAUCAGUAGGAGCAAAAUGAUGUGUCACAAGCAUGUUUAGUGAGUGAACAUAAAAAUUAUAUAAUUUAUAGUUUCACUUACAUAAAUGGUGAAAACAGACAAAACUAACCUUUUGUGGAAAGAAUCAAAACCGUGGAAGCCUCUGUGUUCAAAUACUGACUGGAAAUGGGCAGGAGAAAACAUGUUUCUGCCAGAUCUUCUAUAUGCCUGAUGUGCAUUCACUCGAUGUAUUUUGCGUAUACUAUUUUUGCAAAUAAAACUGAGAUAAAGGCAAAAUAACUCAAGAGAAAAUAGGUAGAAAUAGGUAGAGUUGGGAUAGAAGCCUUGGAAGCUACCCCCGUACCUUGCCCACCUGGCACAGGCCGAGGAAGUCCUGGGACAAUGCUGUGAGCGACCUGAGGGCCGUCCAGGGGAGCCCCGCCAGCCCAUGCUGGCGCCCGAGCUGCCCGCCGCCAUCUGAAUAUGUUGCAAAGACAGUGCUGGCCUGGCAACCGGUGACGCUCCACGCCCCACCUCGACCCCCACUUCUACCCAAGUAGUGGCAACGCUAGAGACAGAUGCCUGGGCGGCAGCGG